RNAcentral lists this long non-coding RNA (1371 nucleotides) under Ananas comosus (pineapple). Its description in RNAcentral is "long non-coding RNA (ACOM_LNC015193)". The record is from RNAcentral. Lineage: Eukaryota; Viridiplantae; Streptophyta; Magnoliopsida; Poales; Bromeliaceae.
GGUAGAGUAGAUGGCAUUCGUAUAUACUAUACUUGUGACCUGGUUGGUCGGUUCUCCUGUUUGCAUCGGUGACCUGUUUGGUCGUUCGUUACUUUCCGUAUAUUGACCUAUCUUGGUCGGUUCACGUUGUUACUUGAUGACCUAUACGGUCGGUUAGCCCCGAGGGGCGGUGAUUGUCGGCUGAUUGCCGACGGUUGGCUAUUGAUCAUAUCUGCAUUGAUCGCCACAGCUCGAGUGCAUUUCACGUACACCAGCGGGUUGAUCCCCCGCAGGAGGGUGUUCUUUUCCGGAAAAGUGGUCGUACAUCCGACCCGUGAGCCCAGCGGUGUUCUCUCUGUGCUAGGGUUACAUGCCAGGUGUGAGCAGGUAGUGGCUUUUGCCUGAGGUCCUUAGACCGACACGGCGGUUUAGAUUGGGUACUUUUGGACUACUUGUCCGGUUGACGCAUAUAGUUAUAGUAGCGGUUGUUGCAUGUAUACUUGUAGUUCCUUCUUUACACUUGUCUUGCUACUAUAGUUUUGAUAUCCCUGUAUGUAUGCUUUUCGUACUAGUUACAGUAGCGGUAGUUGUUCUCUCAUAUCUAUAUCUCAUUCGUCAUUAUCGUUGCUACUGUAUUUCACUUACCCAUAUACUAUUGUUUAUCUUCCUGAUCCGGUGAGUACUCCUCGCCCUCGUCGACUUGCGGUACCCACUGGGAGGGAAGACAUGUUUACAUGUUCUCACCUCCCCCACCAUUUUUCAGGUAUCGCGGGCGAUGUUUAGUGGGACGAGACGUGAGGUACGUGUGUAGCGGUCGAUAGAGCUUCCGACCCAGGUUAUUUCGAUUUAGCUAUUACCUUUUUUAUUUCUGUGGAUAUAUAAAGCUUAGUCGGUUUACAUGGUUCAGUUUUGUGUUAUUAUCUGAAUAUCUGAGUUUUCAGUUGGUUUUGGAAUGUAAUAAAGGAUUUGUGUUUUCUUGAAAUAAAAAUGGUUUUCUACCCCUCGUGGUAGCGUUUUAAAAGAUAAAAGUUCCCGUGUAGGGAACAGUUUUCAAAGGGUUUUCUGUAGAUUUUGUAUCUUAGUAUUUCAAAACUUGUUUCUGUAAUUGGAAACAUUUUAACUGAUAGAUGUGAAUUUAUGUUUAAAUAUUGAAUGGAAAAAUAUGAAUCUGUGGUGAAUGGUGUAUGAAUAUAUAUAACUGUGGUUAUUUGUAUGUUCAUCUGGUUGUGGUUGUAUCAUGUUUGAACUCUUGUACUUGUGCGACGCCGUGCAAAUACAGGGGAGACUCUGUCCGUGUGAACGGUGGAUCUCCUGUAUUUGUGGCGGAUCUGGCAUACCCUGGGGUCAGGUUUUAAAAAAAUUCAGACGCUUUUCCGCUAUGCUUUAAACUAA